This 440-nucleotide ribosomal RNA is filed under the name uncultured bacterium. Its description in RNAcentral is "partial 16S ribosomal RNA". It matches the Rfam family "Bacterial small subunit ribosomal RNA", at positions 339 to 795 of the family's 1533-position model. The record is from RNAcentral.
CUACGGGCGGCAGCAGUAGGGAAUAUUGCACAAUGGGCGAAAGCCUGAUGCAGCAACGCCGCGUGCGCGAUGAAGGCCUUCGGGUUGUAAAGCGCUUUUCUGAGGGAAGAGGAAGGACUGUACCUCAGGAAUAAGUCUCGGCUAACUACGUGCCAGCAGCCGCGGUAACACGUAGGAGGCAAGCGUUAUCCGGAUUUACUGGGCGUAAAGCGCGUGUAGGCGGUUUGGCAAGUCGGAUGUGAAAGCUCCUGGCUCAACUGGGAGAGGUCGUUCGAAACUGCCAGACUAGAGGACGGUAGAGGAAGAUGGAAUUCCCGGUGUUGUAGUGAAAUGCGUAGAUAUCGGGAGGAACACCAGUGGCGAAGGCGGUCUUCUGGGCCGUUCCUGACGCUGAGACGCGAAAGCAUGGGUAGCGAACGGGAUUAGAUACCCUGGUAGUC